Molecule: unclassified non-coding RNA, 336 nt
Filed under: soil metagenome
Description: partial contains 5.8S ribosomal RNA, internal transcribed spacer 2, and large subunit ribosomal RNA
Rfam family: 5.8S ribosomal RNA (bases 5-119)
Source: RNAcentral
GAUGAGAACGUAGCGAAAUGCGAUAAGUAGUGUGAAUUGCAGAAUUCAGUGAAUCAUCGAAUCUUUGAACGCACAUUGCGCCCCAUGGUAUUCCGUGGGGCAUGCCUGUUCGAGCGUCAUUUACCCCCUCAAGCUCCGCUUGGUGUUGGGCGUCUGUCCCGCUUCGCGCGCGGACUCGCCCCAAAGGUAUUGGCAGCGGUCGUGCCAGCUUCUCGCGCAGCACAUUGCGCUUCUCGAGGCACCGGUGGGCCCGCGUCCAUCAAGCUCACCCCCCCAGUUUGACCUCGGAUCAGGUAGGGAUACCCGCUGAACUUAAGCAUAUCAAUAAGCGGAGGA